GGGGAAUAUUGGGCAAUGGAGGAAACUCUGACCCAGCAACGCCGCGUGAAUGAUGAAGGUCUUCGGAUUGUAAAGUUCUUUUCUAAGGGAAGAAGAAAGUGACGGUACCUUAGGAAUAAGCCUCGGCUAACUAC
Molecule: ribosomal RNA, 134 nt
Filed under: uncultured bacterium
Lineage: Bacteria
Description: partial 16S ribosomal RNA
Rfam family: Bacterial small subunit ribosomal RNA
Source: RNAcentral